GCGUGCAGUGCAGCGUGCUGUGGUUAGCAGGCCGGCCCAUUCUAGCAACUUAGACCGCAACUCACCCCGCACGCCUCUUCUUCUUCUAUUUUCUUUUGUUUCUCAGCCGUGUUCUUCUGAACUUCUGUAGGAGCCGAACCCACGUCGAAUCGAAUCGAUCGAUCUGCUGCCCCUCGCCUUGUCCUGACUCCAUAUAAAUAAUCCCCUCGUUCUUCUCAUUCGGUUUUCACCAAAAUCGUCGCCUCCCGUGCCCUAAGACCUCGUCCCGAUCUGGCCGGAGUUAGCUGCAAGAGCUCCUGUCGCCGGUCAAGUUCGUCGCUGCCGGACGCAUCUAAACGACCGUACUGACCUCGACCCGAAGCUCAACUCCGCCGUCACCGCUCCAGCCGGUCACUGUCGCCACCGGAGCAAGCUCCAAUUGUGUCGGAGGUCACCCACUUCAUCUCCGUCGCGCUCUCCACUCGUAGGUCAUAUCUGUGUAGCCGGAGGCCCUUUGUAGCCGUCGCCCGUAUCACCACCGAGCCGCCGGCGCCGUCCUUCUCCAACUCCGACGACGCCCAGCUCUGUUCUCAGAUUGUCCGGAGUGUGAAGCGGAUCAGAAUUAAUCGUUAGAGUACUUCAACACCGUUCAAGGCAAGUUUGCACUUUUGAUUUUGCUUAUCCUAUAUUCUAGUAUGCAUGUGUGAUUUUUAUUCUAUGACAUGUGCUUGGUUUGACCUGUAUGUUCUCUGUUGUCAUAUUCUGAUAUUGAUUGUAUUAUGUGAUGGUGUGAUCAACUUGCCAUGGUAGACGUGGGAUGUGUUGAGUGAUCCAUGAAAGUGGUGAGUGUUUAUAGCCGUAGGCUCGGGAUUAUUAACCACGUGAAUGCAUCACUGGCAGAGCGCUCUAUUGUCCCUAGAGAAUGCGCCAUUGACAGAGCGCACUUGAGGCGAGGUUUAGUUUUCGGAACUUAAAUCAGGUGAAUGCGUCCUUGGCAGAGCGCUCUAUUGUUCCUAGAGAAUGCGCCACUGAUAGAGCGCAUUUGAGAUACUUCUGAAGUUCUUGUCAUGUUUACUUAGAAUCUUUGGGGUUAUCUUGGGUGAAUGAAUUAGGGGUGGUUGUGAGUUCAGGUAGUGGAGGUAGGUGAAGACUUUCUUCUCCAAAUUAACUUGAGUGUUUUGUUUGUCAUACUUUACUUGUGGAUGUAGGUUUGCUAUAUCUUAUUGUGUGAUUGGCCAAUACAUUCAAUGUAUUGACCCUUGUGGCUGCAACUUAUCAUGUUGGAGGAUUUUCAGAUGAUCAUUGAGAUACAGUAGGGUCGCGAGUCUUCACUCAACAUUUUUACCAGUGGGCAUUGACGGGACUCAUCGUCUAUUAUGCUACAUUUUCGCUGUUAUUAUUGAAUAAGUUAGCCAUGUGCUAUUCAGUUUGUAAUACUUUAUA
Molecule: long non-coding RNA, 1422 nt
Organism: Triticum aestivum (bread wheat)
Lineage: Eukaryota; Viridiplantae; Streptophyta; Magnoliopsida; Poales; Poaceae
Exons: 3
Source: RefSeq, a predicted model, not a curated record